AAUGAACGCUGGCGGCAGGCCUAACACAUGCAAGUCGAACGAAGCCUUCGGGCUUAGUGGCGGACGGGUGAGUAACGCGUGGGAACAUACCCAAAGGUACGGAAUAGCCUCGGGAAACUGGGAGUAAUACCGUAUGUGCCCUUCGGGGGAAAGAUUUAUCGCCUUUGGAUUGGCCCGCGUUGGAUUAGGUAGUUGGUGGGGUAAUGGCCUACCAAGCCGACGAUCCAUAGCUGGUUUGAGAGGAUGAUCAGCCACACUGGGACUGAGACACGGCCCAGACUCCUACGGGAGGCAGCAGUGGGGAAUCUUAGACAAUGGGCGCAAGCCUGAUCUAGCCAUGCCGCGUGAUCGAUGAAGGCCUUAGGGUUGUAAAGAUCUUUCAGUUGGGAAGAUAAUGACGGUAC
RNAcentral lists this ribosomal RNA (404 nucleotides) under uncultured bacterium. Its description in RNAcentral is "bacterial SSU rRNA". It matches the Rfam family "Bacterial small subunit ribosomal RNA", at positions 29 to 478 of the family's 1533-position model. The record is from RNAcentral.